AGAAGGUUAGUCCAACCAAGACCUCUGAUUUCGGCUCAGAAAAUCAUGGUUAAACCCCAUGACCUUCAU
Molecule: transfer RNA, 69 nt
Filed under: Cromeria nilotica (naked shellear)
Lineage: Eukaryota; Metazoa; Chordata; Actinopteri; Gonorynchiformes; Kneriidae
Also listed under: 1 other name
Description: tRNA-Arg
Rfam family: tRNA
About the family: Transfer RNA (tRNA) molecules are approximately 80 nucleotides in length. Their secondary structure includes four short double-helical elements and three loops (D, anti-codon, and T loops). Further hydrogen bonds mediate the characteristic L-shaped molecular structure. tRNAs have two regions of fundamental functional importance: the anti-codon, which is responsible for specific mRNA codon recognition, and the 3' end, to which the tRNAs corresponding amino acid is attached (by aminoacyl-tRNA synthetases). tRNAs cope with the degeneracy of the genetic code in two manners: having more than one tRNA (with a specific anti-codon) for a particular amino acid; and 'wobble' base-pairing, i.e. permitting non-standard base-pairing at the 3rd anti-codon position.
Source: RNAcentral